UACGGAGGGUGCGAGCGUUGUCCGGAAUCACUGGGCGUAAAGGGCGCGUAGGCGGUUCGGUAAGUUGCUGGUGAAAUCCCGGGGCUCAACUCCGGGGCUGCCGGCACGACUGCCGGACUAGAGCACGGUAGGGGCAGAUGGAAUUCCCGGUGUAGCGGUGGAAUGCGUAGAGAUCGGGAAGAAUACCAGUGGCGAAGGCGACCGCCUGGCCCAACACUGACGCUGAGGUGCGAAAGCGUGGGUAGCAAACAGGAUUAGAAACCCGUGUAGU
This 271-nucleotide ribosomal RNA is filed under the name uncultured bacterium. RNAcentral describes it as "partial 16S ribosomal RNA". It matches the Rfam family "Bacterial small subunit ribosomal RNA", at positions 524 to 794 of the family's 1533-position model. The record is from RNAcentral.